RNAcentral lists this transfer RNA (69 nucleotides) under Podarcis lilfordi (Lilford's wall lizard). RNAcentral describes it as "tRNA.Lys". The stretch from base 4 to 61 matches the Rfam family "tRNA", at positions 8 to 63 of the family's 71-position model. From Rfam's summary of the family: Transfer RNA (tRNA) molecules are approximately 80 nucleotides in length. The record is from RNAcentral. Lineage: Eukaryota; Metazoa; Chordata; Lepidosauria; Squamata; Lacertidae.
GGAUAGCUCAGUUGGUAGAGCAUAAGACUUUUAAUCUCAGUGUCAUGGGUUUGAGCCCUGUGUUGGGCA